Myotis brandtii (Brandt's bat) is the source of this 331-nucleotide long non-coding RNA. RefSeq lists it as uncharacterized. Lineage: Eukaryota; Metazoa; Chordata; Mammalia; Chiroptera; Vespertilionidae. The transcript is spliced from 3 exons. The record is from RefSeq and is a predicted model, not a curated record.
AUGCUGGGAUUUAAUGUUUAUCUUUUUGUCUUCUCAAGUCUCAUGCAUUAAUUUGACAAAUAUUUGUUGAAGGUCUGGAGUUCUGUGACCAGAUUUUCUGAACUCCAACUCAUGACAUGUGAAAAAGAAUUUUUCUGGCUGUUACAGUUUAACCAUACUUAGAUUCUUCUGAUUCUCAAGUGUUAUUCCAAAUAAGAUUGUUUGGAAAUAUCUCCUCAAAAUAUACAUGUUCUUCUGAAAGGGAUACCAGAAAACACCAUUUUCCAAGCUUGGUACAUAAUCAAAUGAAUGGUUAUAUUUGCCUUACUAUAAAUUCAUCAUAAAAUUUUGG